This 487-nucleotide ribosomal RNA is filed under the name uncultured bacterium. RNAcentral describes it as "bacterial SSU rRNA". It matches the Rfam family "Bacterial small subunit ribosomal RNA", at positions 1 to 521 of the family's 1533-position model. The record is from RNAcentral.
UGAGAGUUUGAUCAUGGCUCAGGACAAACGCUGGCGGCGUACCUAAGACAUGCAAGUCGAACGGAUGAGCAGUCUUUCGGGACUGCUUGUGAGUGGCGGAUGGGUGAGUAACGCGUAGGAACCUGUCACGGCGUGGGGGAUACCGCUGGGAAACCGGCGCUAAUACCGCAUGUGGUCAGCAAUGACGAAAGCAGCAAUGCGCGCUGUGAGCGGCCCGCGUUGGAUUAGCUAGUUGGUGGGGUAAAGGCCCACCAAGGCUACGAUCCAUAGCUGGUCUGAGAGGAUGAUCAGCCACACUGGGACUGAGACACGGCCCAGACUCCUACGGGAGGCAGCAGUAGGGAAUCUUGCGCAAUGGGCGAAAGCCUGACGCAGCCAUGCCGCGUGAAUGAUGAAGGUCUUAGGAUUGUAAAAUUCUUUCACCGGGGAAGAUAAUGACGGUACCCGGAGAAGAAGCCCCGGCUAACUUCGUGCCAGCAGCCGCGGU